CCUACUACAAAAUUGUAAGGUGAAGCCUGCCCAAUGACUGCCAAUAACCUAACUAAAAUCAGUCCAAUGGCCGCGGUAACUCUGACCGUGAUAAAGUAGCAUAAUCACUUGUCGCUUAAUUGGCGACUAGAAUGAAUGGCUAAACGAAUCCCCCUCUGUCUCUGAAAGAACUCUGGCAAAUUUGAAACGACAGUGAAGAUGCUGUCAAAUAAUUGUAAGACGAAAAGACCCUAUCGAGCUUUACUGAAAACUUGUAUACCAAUAUCCUUAACUAUAACAAAGGUUCUAAAACUGCAAGGUCGACAGUUUGGUUGGGGCGACCACCCCUAAAAAUGUAUCAGGGGAACUCUAAAGGCUAUUAUAAUAUGAAAAAUUGCCUUACUGAAGACAAACAAGUCAACCAGUUACAAUAAGUAGGACAUACUGACCCGUUAUUUUACUCAUACUAAAUAACGACUAUGAAAAAAGUUACCGUAGGGAUAACAGGGUAAUAUUUUCAGAGAGUUCAUAUCGAUGAAAAUGUUUGCCACCUCGAUGUUGAAUUAUGAUGUCCUAAGGGUGCAGCAGCUCUCGAGGGUUGGUCUGUUCGACCAUUAAAAU
This 600-nucleotide ribosomal RNA is filed under the name Aurelia sp. JX-2016. Its description in RNAcentral is "partial 16S ribosomal RNA". It matches the Rfam family "Bacterial large subunit ribosomal RNA", at positions 1833 to 2594 of the family's 2925-position model. The record is from RNAcentral. Lineage: Eukaryota; Metazoa; Cnidaria; Scyphozoa; Semaeostomeae; Ulmaridae.